CGCACUAAAGUGCAUAAAACGUGGACACGUUCUAGAUAUCUCGUGACGAAAUACACAGAAAAAACAUUCCUCUUGCCUUUACGUCUUUCAAAGACUGAUUUGAUCCAUCAGAAAUCAACAUUUUGGGAAAAGGUUUGAGCAGGAGAUAACAUCAACAUAGGAGCCCCAGUGUGGGACAGCGCCUCACCACCUUGCCCAGGGGGCGCUCACGUAGACGCAGUCUUCCCUAGAGCACGAAGCAUGACGUCACAGUAAAAUGUCAGUUUCUCAACUGUGAACCCAAACACUCAGCUUUGGACAUCUUCCUGGCCACCUUACCCAAUUGCACUCUAGGCCCUUCCCCCACCUCCCCCCUAGCCCCCCUCUAUCCCCCCUCUAUCCCCUUCCCCUCUUGCCCCACCCAUUUGGGUGAUGCUCGGGAUAGUAUUGUCGUUCUGGACCUUCCUAUUCAUCGUGAUCACAGCGGUACAACACGCCUUGGGCUGGAGACCCGUCUCCUCCUCUUCUGACCCCGCCCCUAACUCUUCAAGCCCAGCCCACAAAUCUCGACCCUGUAGCUGCAACUGCCAAGGAAAAACACACCAACCACCAUUGCCUUCAGGUACCGGUUCUUCAUCACGGGAAGGCAAGUCUCGAUACACACGUUCUGUUGGCUUUGACCCGGAAACUUCAGUGAGAAAAAGUCACCGCCCAUCACGCCGACCGUUUAGGGGCCACAACCCUUCCCUCAGUUCUUCUUCUGUAGGCAAAAGCUGCUCCGACGACCAACUGUCAGCACGCUCAGGCUGCGGGUCUUCUACGGGAGCCGGCCACUCACGCCACCAAAGUCCUCCCAACCGUGACCCGACGUCGUCCGUUAGUGUGAGCUACCCCUCGUGUCACGAGACGGGUGGGUGUCUGUCCCACAGUGGGAAUUCUAAUAGGAAGAGUGUGAGCUUCAGAAACAGUCUGGGAGAGGAGCCUAGAGGAAGGAGUUUUUGGAACAGACGGCGCUGAAAUCUGUCGUACACCUCCAGCGCUGCAAAAGGAAAUAGAAAUAAUCGAGAAGACCUCGACAAAAAUAUGUACAUCUUCAUAGUCACACUCUAAAUCCUGCAUCCCUGUCUUUCUCCUUUUGGAAAUACAUAGGCAAGAUCUGGCGUUGUCUGCCCCAUCUGGGAAUCUUGCGUGAGGCGAGGAGAUAGCGGUGAGAAGAGAAACCAUCAACAACCAUGAUACUAAGUGGAUUUAAAUGAAGUCCCAGAGCAAACGUCUCGAAUGUUGAUCAUCAUCGACGUCUGGCUCAUCCUGCUGAUCUGGCUCGUCUUCUACCUAGGCGGCAUCUGGUGCGUGGAUUGCGUCACAAGGCCAAACGAGAACUGGUCACAGAGGGGGAAAACAUCGUCCUCCUCGUCAGCGUCUCCCAAGUACAAGAACCUCAGAAGAGUCCGGAACCGUUGCUGUUGGUGAUCUGAGCUAGUCGACUCAUCCCAGUUGGGUUCAUCUACAUAUUUUUUGCCCUGCAACACAGACAACCGACCGUGAGUAGCUAGCCUGUACAGUGACUAGUAACCAAGGCCCGAGGAUAAAAGUACCCACGGAGAUAGCUACAGGACACCUGUUUGUACUACCAUUGUUUCUGGGCUAUUGUGUGACGAUCAUCAAAGGCUUGUGGGAAGACCAGUGGAGUCUACAGCAAGUUUGGAGUGUAUAUCUCUGAUCUUGACUAGGUACCACGAACUUUCUUGUCUUUUGAACAAACUCCUCUGCCGUCUUUGUCGCCAAAUUCUACCGUCAACCAUAGGUCUCCAUUCCAAAAAUUUCACGGUGAGUGAAAGGAGGAGACAAAAGAGACACACUAAAUAAAACAUAUAGUCAAGCAGUUGUAUAAUUACUGCUAUAAAUUACUGCUUUACUGUCGAAUGAGAGGUGAAGAAGGAAAAUCUUUCUUGAAUAAUUUCUUUCGUAGUCCAGUUCUCACUUUGAUCCACUCGCAUGCUGAUAUUCGCUACCACCCGUUUCUCGAUAUGCUUGUCGUAUUAACGACCCCGGAAUGGACUGGUUCAACCGACAAGUGUUGAGCUUCACCUCAGUAUACGCGCCAUUCUACCGGGAACACUUUAAGUCUGCCGAGCCACUGGCCGUUGUCAGCGACUUCUUCAAGUGCCUGCUCAGUUUUUACAUCCUGCUCUACCUUUUCAUCGUUUGUGUCACCUUCCCGUGCUCUGUGGUCUAUUGUGUUGUAUAACACGACAGCAGAGGAAGCCACUUAACCUGACACAGUACCCUGUGCUUCAGUUUUGGAAACUCAAACAAACUUGUGUUUCAAAAGUACUAACUUCUUUUUCCUUACACAAACCAUACAUAUAGGCAAAUCUAUUUUCAAAUGAGAAGGAAUUUUGGACCAGGGACAUAAUUUUCCCAGGAAAGAGGUCUCAGGUACAGUGAUAUAACGUAUUGAGACAAGACAUUGAUUAGAUACAUCACUGUUGCAGAGAAAACCGAUUUUCGGAAAAAGACACAAAUUCUUCCACUUGUACCUUAUUCGUGACAGACCUAGCAAUAAAGGAUAAUGAAGCACUGAGUGACAUUCCAACUGUGAGAGGAGGCGACCUGACACAGUGUGCACGACAAGACAACAAGGCCUGAGCGAGCACGUCUCCGUCACCAGCGCACCCCCUACCCCCGUGCUGAGUCUUGAGGCCUCAAUGCCGUACGGGGCUGUCUCGGAUGACGUCCUGCCCACGGACCUGCUCGUCUACGUCCUCGUCUUUGUCUUCAUCUACUACUUCUUCCUCAAGGACUCGGACAACUGCAAGAGCUUGAAAAAGAGGGUCAGAUGUUGUAGCCGCUGCUCUUGAAGUCGACAGACAUUCCUCUAUAACGAAACCACUGGACGUUUUUGUUAUUGUGUCAGGUUGUCCCCUAUCUCAUUGAGCUACAAACCUUAGAGAACUACCAUUAAUUUCUCCUUCAGUUUCACACAUCUAGAAGGUUAAUUAAGAUAUAUUAUUGGCUUUUAUAAUCUCUGCAAAACUUAAGAAACACAAAACCUCUAAACUACAUUAGUGCUCUUCAAUUAUAUUGUUAAUUAUCACAGGAAUAUACCAAACCAAUAUAACACUGAGAAUAGAAUUUUCGAAACAUAAUUUCCCAGUUUUGAGCCAGCGGGGUAUCGUCACUCGUGUACCCGUAACAUGUAUCUAGCCGUAGAGCUGGUCAGAUGUUAAGUCUCGUUCUGACUACUUUUUCACUCGUGAGUAGUGGCUUGAAUUCGGUUUCUGAAGACAUCGUGAAAUACUGCAAGUAUAAUAUGGUCUUUGCAGAAAUUCUCCGUUCUGAGUUUGAUACCCUGUUCUUUUGUUGGUAUAACAGCGAUAAAAGGUUCGCAAUGGCCACUGGCGACUUUUACUAGCUAUUUUUUUCCCUCACGAACUCGCCAGUGGCAGAAGUUCUGACAUCCGAAGACACUCACAAGACAAGGUCUAGUUAAUAUCACAAAAGAAAAAUAACGGUUUGGUAUAAUUUCUGCAGCUUCAAAGCGAUAUUACUUAUUUCUGACCGGUUGCAUUUGGACUAGUAUAUUAUUUUAAAGGAAAUUCCAUUAUUUAAAUCACGCAAGACCUGUAAAAUAGAUUCCUCUCUAACUGAAACAAAACAUGUAUCUCAGUAGUGCAGGCUAUCUAGAUUUCUGGCAAAAGUAGAUGGACCCAGCCACAAAAGAAAACGGGAGCACCAUCAGCUUGGAGGACUGUGUGUUUACUUUUCUUUUGAUCGUCUCCUUCUACGUGUUCCACAACUACAUCGGCGGGAUUUCAGGAAGAGACACCAAGUUUGGUUAAUCAAUCAGGCGACUUCCACUGUAGUAGUACCACAGACAUGCGCGCCGCGCGGUACCUGGAAGCCUCUAAGGAAUGAAGAGGCGAGCGACAUUUGGGGAUGGAGAUGAAAACCAACGCCAUGCUCCUAGCGGAGUCCACGCCUCAGUGGUUACGACAGAUGUUCCAGUCACUGGUCGAAGGAUUGCUUCUUUGGAAGGACAAUGUUGCGGAAGGCGCCCAGUGGUUCCUGUAUUUGGCUAAUGUCGUGAUCGCCAACGUCAUCAUCCCAAUAUACUACUUCCUGGUCACAGUGUUGAAAUACGCAUCUCAGUGGGAAAGUCAGAUCUGGUUUCUUUUCUUGGUGACGAGUUUUAUUGGGCUCAUGUACUGGAAGAAAUCGACGCGGGCUGGAGAAAAUGACCCAAGAGUUUUGAGUGCCAAAGUCACCAAUCCAGGGCAACCUGCAAGACCUCGGCGGCGACGGUUGUGUCGAUAAAAAAAUUGCUAUCUAAGCAGCCAAAUAGUAAGAACAUUUAUGUGAGACAUAACACGUAGGCUGUCUUUUCAGAUUCUCGGCAUUGGUGUGGCAGCUGAGAAGCAUGGUUUCUUAAACGAUUCAGAGAGAAAACGAAGUGGUGAGGGAGACAGAGAGAAAGA
This 4457-nucleotide long non-coding RNA is filed under the name Aplysia californica (California sea hare). RNAcentral describes it as "uncharacterized LOC101844961". The record is from RNAcentral. Lineage: Eukaryota; Metazoa; Mollusca; Gastropoda; Aplysiida; Aplysiidae.